GGUUAAUAAUAGCCGCCGAGUGCCUAACGAACCACCUGUGCAUGGGGCACAGCCAGGCCAUCACCCCGGGGCCACCGUCGCAGGUUGGUUCACUGCUGGGCCCUGUGGACUUGUUCUCAUGCUUUGUCAGUGUCGAUGUCGAAAGCCCAAAGUGUUUCCCAAGUCCUGCUACCUUGGUGGUGACACCAUCUAAGAGGCACUGGCCAGAGAGCUGGGCAGCAGCUGCCACCUGGGAUGAAGAUGGGCAGAGCUGGGCCACCAGGGCCGUGGUGUGAACACACCACUCUCCCUCCAGGGGCCGACCAACGAGCUCCGGGGGUCCAACCCUGGCUCCGGCUUUGGCAGAACUCUCACCUCGCCCCCAGACACCUGUGGGAGGAGCACAGUGCAGGUGGCGACAGCUCCCAGGGGCCGAGCAAGGCUGUGAGCCUCCGCACUAGGGGCCUCUCCCAUCUAGUCCUCCCCACACGCUGGGGUUAACGCAUUCUUAACAUAUGUAUGUUAACCCAACCAUAACAAGGUGCCACCAUCGUCCCGUCCACAAGGGAGGAGACAGUGGCUACAGGGUGGCAGGCAGCCCUUACAAGUGGGACUGGAAGCCUUUCCCUCCCGCCCUGUGGGAAGCCUGUGGCCGUCCCCGCCCUCGUCCAGCUGUGCCCUGUCCUCUCCAGCUGACCGUCCCCGUCAAUCUCAUCCCUG
This 699-nucleotide long non-coding RNA is filed under the name Homo sapiens (human). RNAcentral's name for it is "non-protein coding lnc-PPDPF-1:4". The record is from RNAcentral. Lineage: Eukaryota; Metazoa; Chordata; Mammalia; Primates; Hominidae.